GAUGAACGCUGGCGGCGUGCCUAAUACAUGCAAGUCGGGCGAACGGACGAGAAGCUUGCUUCUCUGAUGUUAGCGGCGGACGGGUGAGUAACACGUGGAUAACCUACCUAUAAGACUGGGAUAACUUCGGGAAACCGGAGCUAAUACCGGAUAAUAUUUUGAACCGCAUGGUUCAAAAGUGAAAGACGGUCUUGCUGUCACUUAUAGAUGGAUCCGCGCUGCAUUAGCUAGUUGGUAAGGUAACGGCUUACCAAGGCAACGAUGCAUAGCCGACCUGAGAGGGUGAUCGGCCACACUGGAACUGAGACACGGUCCAGACUCCUACGGGAGGCAGCAGUAGGGAAUCUUCCGCAAAGGGCGAAAGCCUGACGGAGCAACGCCGCGUGAGUGAUGAAGGUCUUCGGAUCGUAAAACUCUGUUAUUAGGGAAGAACAUAUGUGUAAGUAACUGUGCACAUCUUGACGGUACCUAAUCAGAAAGCCACGGCUAACUACGUG
RNAcentral lists this ribosomal RNA (497 nucleotides) under uncultured bacterium. RNAcentral's name for it is "partial 16S ribosomal RNA". It matches the Rfam family "Bacterial small subunit ribosomal RNA", at positions 28 to 507 of the family's 1533-position model. The record is from RNAcentral.